Molecule: ribosomal RNA, 161 nt
Filed under: Pyrenodesmia alociza
Lineage: Eukaryota; Fungi; Ascomycota; Lecanoromycetes; Teloschistales; Teloschistaceae
Description: 5.8S ribosomal RNA
Rfam family: 5.8S ribosomal RNA
About the family: 5.8S ribosomal RNA (5.8S rRNA) is a component of the large subunit of the eukaryotic ribosome. It is transcribed by RNA polymerase I as part of the 45S precursor that also contains 18S and 28S rRNA. Functionally, it is thought that 5.8S rRNA may be involved in ribosome translocation.
Source: RNAcentral
UCAAAACUUUCAACAACGGAUCUCUUGGUUCUGGCAUCGAUGAAGAACGCAGCGAAAUGCGAUAAGUAAUGUGAAUUGCAGAAUUCAGUGAAUCAUCGAAUCUUUGAACGCACAUUGCGCCCCCUGGUAUUCCGGGGGGCAUGCCUGUUCGAGUCAUUACA